Molecule: long non-coding RNA, 1234 nt
Filed under: Sorghum bicolor (sorghum)
Lineage: Eukaryota; Viridiplantae; Streptophyta; Magnoliopsida; Poales; Poaceae
Description: long non-coding RNA (SBIC_LNC015420)
Source: RNAcentral
GUCUCCAGAUAGCCAGUAUUUAACCAUAAUUCUGCUCAGUGAAUAGUUGCCAUCACUAAAAGGAAUUUUGCCAUUUUGAUUGCAGAAUUGCUUGUUCUUGCUCUAGUUAGGUAGAAUUGCUUGCUCUGGCUGUAGUAUGGUUAUCAUAUCAUGCAAAUCUGAUUGCAGUACCAUCAAAUUUUGUCGCUGUAAGCGCUGCAGUCAUGGAUUGCAUUUCUCAGCUUCUAUUGCUGGGUUGUUUCUUGAUUAUUAUUAUGACUAAGUAAUCUAUGAAUAUCAGUAUUGCAUGCCUGCCCUUAAGUCAUUCGGGGUCUGUCCUUGAUUCUUAUUGGACAUAAAUUAUUGGUACUAUAAUUGAUUUAUCUUAUGACUAGGUAGUCUGAAUAUCUGGAUUGCACGCGUGUUUUUAAGUCAUUCUGGGUCUGUCCUCAAGUCAUACUGGGUAUAAAUUAUUGGUACUAUAAUUGAUUUAUCUUAACAGUAUGUAGUACAAUUCUUUUUUAUUCGGAAAGAUUGUUGGGGUUGUGGGUCGUUGGUUGUUGGUGCUAGUGCAAAAUUGUUUUUGCAGUGUGCUGUUGCAUCCUUUAGCAAGUUUACUAUUUUUUAGGGAGCGCAAUGGUUCAGUGUGCAAGUUUGUUAUCUUAGCCAGCUUAUAUGUGCAAAAAUGUUUCAUACAAGUGGCUGCUCGUGACUGUUCAUGUAGGCUGUUGAAUUGCUCUGUAUGGGCAUCAUUGAUAACUGCUGCUGUUCUCAUGAAGUAAACCUACAUAUAUGUGGCAUAUUGAUUCUUGUUAAGUUUUUGGGGGAACUGAAUUGAGUUUUGUGUUUAUGAAGUCUGGCCAAACUUGGCAUUGGUGUCUUUUGUGAGCACUUAAAAGUGUCAGUGGAGUUUAGAUCGGGCAUGAAUGAAGUUUAAAUCAUGCUGAUGAGAGAUGUUCUUGGUGCCUUUUUUGUGAAAUCUUGAAUCCUUUUUGGAAAUUUUAGUACAUGUCUGUAAUUUUGGUGCUUUUUUGUGAAAUCCUUUAUCCUUUUUGGAAAUUUUAGUACAUGCCUGUAAUUUUUUUGGCACGAUUGGUUAGCAAUCAGUAGUGAAACUGGGCAUUGUCUGGUGUAUUUGUCACCAUUUGGUGUGCCAUUUAUGAGUUAGGCUUAGAGCCCUGCCAUUGCCAAGCCCUGCCGUCCCCAUACAAAAAGUUGUUUUGUUUGUUUGGUAUACAUGAGUUCACAUCAUGCU